This 807-nucleotide ribosomal RNA is filed under the name uncultured bacterium. Its description in RNAcentral is "bacterial SSU rRNA". It matches the Rfam family "Bacterial small subunit ribosomal RNA", at positions 8 to 805 of the family's 1533-position model. The record is from RNAcentral.
AGAGUUUGAUCCUGGCUCAGAUUGAACGCUGGCGGCAUGCCUUACACAUGCAAGUCGAACGGCAGCGCGGGGCAACCUGGCGGCGAGUGGCGAACGGGUGAGUAAUAUAUCGGAACGUGCCCUGGAGUGGGGGAUAACGCAGCGAAAGUUGCGCUAAUACCGCAUACGAUCUAAGGAUGAAAGCAGGGGACCGCAAGGCCUUGUGCUCCUGGAGCGGCCGAUAUCUGAUUAGCUAGUUGGUGGGGUAAAGGCCUACCAAGGCAUCGAUCAGUAGCUGGUCUGAGAGGACGACCAGCCACACUGGAACUGAGACACGGUCCAGACUCCUACGGGAGGCAGCAGUGGGGAAUUUUGGACAAUGGGCGCAAGCCUGAUCCAGCAAUGCCGCGUGAGUGAAGAAGGCCUUCGGGUUGUAAAGCUCUUUUGUCAGGGAAGAAACGGUGGGGGCUAAUAUCCCCUGCUAAUGACGGUACCUGAAGAAUAAGCACCGGCUAACUACGUGCCAGCAGCCGCGGUAAUACGUAGGGUGCAAGCGUUAAUCGGAAUUACUGGGCGUAAAGCGUGCGCAGGCGGUUUUUGUAAGUCUGCCGUGAAAUCCCCGGGCUCAACCUGGGAAUUGCGAUGGAGACUGCAAGGCUAGAAUCUGGCAGAGGGGGGGGGUAGAAUUCCACGGUGUAGCAGUGAAAUGCGGUAGAGAAUGGGGAGGAACACGAAUGGCGAACGCAGCCCCCUGGGUCAAGAUUGACGCUCAUGCACGAAAGCGUGGGGAGCAAACAGGAUUAGAUACCCUGGUAGUCCACGCCCUAA